UGCAAGUCGAGGGGUAACGGGGAGCUUGCUCCGCCGACGACCGGCGCACGGGUGCGCACCGCGUAUGGAACCUACCUUGUACAGGGGAAUAGCCUUUGGAAACGAAGAUUAAUGCCCCGUGGUACCAUGGCCCGGCAUCGGGAUAUGGUUAAAGCCUUCGGGCGGUACAAGAUGGCCAUGCGUCCCAUUAGCUUGUUGGUAAGGUAACGGCUUACCAAGGCUACGAUGGGUAGGGGCCCUGAGAGGGGGAUCCCCCACACUGGUACUGAGACACGGACCAGACUCCUACGGGAGGCAGCAGUGAGGAAUAUUGGACAAUGGAGGAGACUCUGAUCCAGCCAUGCCGCGUGCAGGAAGAAUGCCCUAUGGGUAGUAAACUGCUUUUAUACGGGAAGAAAAAGAGCUACGUGUAGCUUACUGACGGUACCGUAAGAAUAAGGACCGGCUAACUCCGUGCCAGCAGCCGCGGUAAUACGGAGGGUCCGAGCGUUAUCCGGAAUUAUUGGGUUUAAAGGGUCCGUAGGCGGGCCGAUAAGUCAGGGGUGAAAGUUUGCAGCUCAACUGUAAAAUUGCCUUUGAUACUGUUGGUCUUGAGUUAUAGUGAAGUUGCCGGAAUAUGUAGUGUAGCGGUGAAAUGCAUAGAUAUUACAUAGAACACCGAUUGCGAAGGCAGGUGACUAACUAUAUACUGACGCUGAUGGACGAAAGCGUGGGGAGCGAACAGGA
This 726-nucleotide ribosomal RNA is filed under the name bacterium W15M10. RNAcentral describes it as "bacterial SSU rRNA". It matches the Rfam family "Bacterial small subunit ribosomal RNA", at positions 56 to 777 of the family's 1533-position model. The record is from RNAcentral.